This 175-nucleotide ribosomal RNA is filed under the name uncultured bacterium. RNAcentral describes it as "partial 16S ribosomal RNA". The record is from RNAcentral.
AUUACCGCGGCUGCUGGCACGUAGUUAGCCGGGGCUUCCUCCUUGGCUACCGUCAUUUUUUUCUUCACCAAGGACAGAGUUUUACGACCCGAAGGCCUUCUUCACUCACGCGGCGUCGCUGCAUCAGGCUUUCGCCCAUUGUGCAAUAUUCCCCACUGCUGCCUCCCGUAGGAGU